This 2907-nucleotide ribosomal RNA is filed under the name Enterococcus faecium. RNAcentral's name for it is "23S ribosomal RNA". It matches the Rfam family "Bacterial large subunit ribosomal RNA". The record is from RNAcentral. Lineage: Bacteria; Bacillati; Bacillota; Bacilli; Lactobacillales; Enterococcaceae.
UUAAGUGAAUAAGGGCGCACGGUGGAUGCCUUGGCACUAGGAGCCGAUGAAGGACGGGACUAACACCGAUAUGCUUUGGGGAGCUGUACGUAAGCUAUGAUCCAGAGAUUUCCGAAUGGGGGAACCCAACAUCUUUAAUAGGAUGUUACGAUUGUGUGAAUACAUAGCACAUUCGAGGUAGACGCAGAGAACUGAAACAUCUAAGUACCUGCAGGAAGAGAAAGAAAAUUCGAUUCCCUGAGUAGCGGCGAGCGAAACGGGAAAAGCCCAAACCAGCAAGCUUGCUUGUUGGGGUUGUAGGACUCCAAUAUGGUAGUUCUUUCAGAUAGUCGAAUGACUUGGAAAAGUCAGUCAAAGAGGGUAAAAACCCCGUAGACGAAAUGUGGAAGACACCUAGGAGGAUCCUGAGUACGGCGGAACACGAGAAAUUCCGUCGGAAUCCGGGAGGACCAUCUCCCAAGGCUAAAUACUCCCUAGUGACCGAUAGUGAACCAGUACCGUGAGGGAAAGGUGAAAAGCACCCCGGAAGGGGAGUGAAAUAGAACCUGAAACCGUGUGCCUACAACAAGUCAAAGCCCGUUAAUGGGUGAUGGCGUGCCUUUUGUAGAAUGAACCGGCGAGUUACGAUUGCAUGCGAGGUUAAGUUGAAGAGACGGAGCCGCAGCGAAAGCGAGUCUGAAUAGGGCGUUUGAGUAUGUAGUCGUAGACCCGAAACCAUGUGAUCUACCCAUGUCCAGGUUGAAGGUGCGGUAAAACGCACUGGAGGACCGAACCCACGUACGUUGAAAAGUGCGGGGAUGAGGUGUGGGUAGCGGAGAAAUUCCAAACGAACUUGGAGAUAGCUGGUUCUCUCCGAAAUAGCUUUAGGGCUAGCCUCGGAAUUGAGAAUGAUGGAGGUAGAGCACUGUUUGGACUAGGGGCCCAUCUCGGGUUACCGAAUUCAGAUAAACUCCGAAUGCCAUUCAUUCAUAUCCGGGAGUCAGACUGUGAGUGAUAAGAUCCAUAGUCGAAAGGGAAACAGCCCAGACCACCAGCUAAGGUCCCAAAAUAUAUGUUAAGUGGAAAAGGAUGUGGGGUUGCACAGACAACUAGGAUGUUGGCUUAGAAGCAGCCACCAUUUAAAGAGUGCGUAAUAGCUCACUAGUCGAGUGACCCUGCGCCGAAAAUGUACCGGGGCUAAACAUAUUACCGAAGCUGUGGAGUACACCUUUAGGUGUAUUGGUAGGAGAGCGUUCUAAGGGCGUCGAAGGCAGAUCGUGAGGACUGCUGGAGCGCUUAGAAGUGAGAAUGCCGGUAUGAGUAGCGAAAGACAGGUGAGAAUCCUGUCCACCGAAUGACUAAGGUUUCCUGGGGAAGGCUCGUCCGCCCAGGGUUAGUCGGGACCUAAGCCGAGGCCGACAGGCGUAGGCGAUGGAUAACAGGUUGAUAUUCCUGUACCCGUUGUUUUUGUUUGAGCAAUGGAGGGACGCAGGAGGCUAAGGAAUGCAGACGAUCGGAAAUGUCUGUCCAAGCAGUAAGUCUGAAGAGGAGUCAAAUGCUUCUUUUCUUAAGGACCCAAUCAAUAAAUUGUGGAGAGAGGCAAUGGCCUGACUGAUGUCACACUGCCGAGAAAAGCUUCUAGUGAGAAAACAGCGGCCCGUACCGCAAACCGACACAGGUAGUCGAGGAGAGAAUCCUAAGGUGAGCGAGAGAACUCUCGUUAAGGAACUCGGCAAAAUGACCCCGUAACUUCGGGAGAAGGGGUGCUGAUCAUACGAUCAGCCGCAGUGAAUAGGCCCAAGCGACUGUUUAUCAAAAACACAGGUCUCUGCAAAAUCGUAAGAUGAAGUAUAGGGGCUGACGCCUGCCCGGUGCUGGAAGGUUAAGAGGAGUGCUUAGCGCAAGCGAAGGUACGAAUUGAAGCCCCAGUAAACGGCGGCCGUAACUAUAACGGUCCUAAGGUAGCGAAAUUCCUUGUCGGGUAAGUUCCGACCCGCACGAAAGGCGUAACGAUUUGGGCACUGUCUCAACGAGAGACUCGGUGAAAUUUUAGUACCUGUGAAGAUGCAGGUUACCCGCGACAGGACGGAAAGACCCCAUGGAGCUUUACUGUAGUUUGAUAUUGAGUGUCUGUACCGCAUGUACAGGAUAGGUAGGAGCCGUAGAAAUCGGAACGCUAGUUUCGAUGGAGGCGCUGGUGGGAUACUACCCCUGCGUUAUGGCCACUCUAACCCGCACCACUAAUCGUGGUGGGAGACAGUGUCAGAUGGGCAACAAUUGGUAUUUACCUGAUCAGUCUGGCUUUGCUAGGAUUAGCCGCAGGCCCUCAGAAUGGUUGGAAAUCAUUCGAAGAGUGUAAAGGCAGAAGGGAGCUUGACUGCGAGACCAACAAGUCGAGCAGGGACGAAAGUCGGGCUUAGUGAUCCGGUGGUUCCGCAUGGAAGGGCCAUCGCUCAACGGAUAAAAGCUACCCUGGGGAUAACCAAAAUUUAGUGAUGAUUUCUUUGCAAUCACUUUUUCGAAUUCCAUUCUUAUUUAUUGGUGCCUAUCCUGGGGCUGUAGUCGGUCCCAAGGGUUGGGCUGUUCGCCCAUUAAAGCGGCACGCGAGCUGGGUUCAGAACGUCGUGAGACAGUUCGGUCCCUAUCCGUCGCGGGCGUUGGAAAUUUGAGAGGAGCUGUCCUUAGUACGAGAGGACCGGGAUGGACUUACCGCUGGUGUACCAGUUGUUCUGCCAAGGGCAUUGCUGGGUAGCUAUGUAGGGAAGGGAUAAACGCUGAAAGCAUCUAAGUGUGAAGCCCACCUCAAGAUGAGAUUUCCCAUUUCUUUAAGAAAGUAAGAUCCCUGAGAGAUGAUCAGGUAGAUAGGUCAGGAGUGGAAGUACAGUGAUGUAUGGAGCGGACUGAUACUAAUCGAUCGAGGACUUAACC